GACGAACGCUGGCGGCGUGCUUAACACAUGCAAGUGGGACGCAAGGGAACACACUGUGCUUGCACACCGUGUUUUCUUGAGUCGCGAACGGGUGAGUAACGCGUAGGUAACCUGCCUAUUAGCGGGGGAUAACUAUUGGAAACGAUAGCUAAUACCGCAUAAUAUUAAUUAUUGCAUGAUAAUUGAUUGAAAGAUGCAAGCGCAUCACUAGUAGAUGGACCUGCGUUGUAUUAGCUAGUUGGUAAGGUAAGAGCUUACCAAGGCGACGAUACAUAGCCGACCUGAGAGGGUGAUCGGCCACACUGGGACUGAGACACGGCCCAGACUCCUACGGGAGGCAGCAGUAGGGAAUCUUCGGCAAUGGACGAAAGUCUGACCGAGCAACGCCGCGUGAGUGAAGAAGGUUUUCGGAUCGUAAAGCUCUGUUGUAAGUCAAGAACGUGUGUGAGAGUGGAAAGUUCACACAGUGACGGUAGCUUACCAGAAAGGCGG
RNAcentral lists this ribosomal RNA (492 nucleotides) under Streptococcus mutans. Its description in RNAcentral is "bacterial SSU rRNA". It matches the Rfam family "Bacterial small subunit ribosomal RNA", at positions 28 to 494 of the family's 1533-position model. The record is from RNAcentral. Lineage: Bacteria; Bacillati; Bacillota; Bacilli; Lactobacillales; Streptococcaceae.